AUAAAAAAAAUAAAUAAGGAAUAAACAAAUAAUUAUAAAUAUUAACAAGAAUAUUACGUACAAACAAUAUAUUAAAAAAUAAAUGAACAUCGCCGGGGCAACAUCGUUGUGUGGAUAAAAUAUCAUAUUACGAGUGACGUUGCUGACUCCGCGGAACGAACACAAAGCCGUGUGAACCAGAAGAUUCCUGAUAGCACACAUCCCAUGGUAUUACUAUCCCAACGUCGGGGCAGUCAUGUAGUCUUACUCCGGUUGUUACCCUAUAAAAUUAGAAUGAUGAGACCAAUUUCGAGUACAGUAUUUUGUUUUAUUAUAAUUAAUAUGUUGUCUAAAUUAAGAGUUGAGUAAGUUUCUCUAAGUGUAUUUGGUUGAUUCAAAACCCAUAAGAGCACAAGUUUGAUCACAUAUGUAGCUCUAAAAAGUCCUCAUUUACCAGAGGUCUUAAUUUUCAGAACAUAUCUCUGUAUAUGAGUAAAAGUUUUUUUAUUUUGGGGGCUAGAAAAAUGUCAGUUUUGAAGUCAUAUAUCAUAAAAAUCAAGUAACUGAGUAGAGCUGGACAGUGCUUGAUACCGCGAUAAUCCUUUUUGCUUAACAAAGCACAGAUUUUCUAGCUCAUGAAAUAAAAUUCUCAUCUUUGGUCAGAUAUCCUUCAGUGCCAGUUACAUCUCCUUGUCAAGAAUCCAACUCUAACAAAUGACCUAGAAAACUCGGACGGACCUAAAGACGUAACUUCACUCUGAGAGUUCUAUCGUGGUGCAGGAUGUUGAAUUCGUUCUUCCUUCUAUUUGCUCUAAGUAACCAAAGAGAUCUUAAAAAGACUAGAAUACACAUGUCUUCUACAUAAAGAAAGCUGCUAAAACAUUCGCAGUUCUCUUCAUGGUAGAUUUGUGUAUUGACAACGAUAACCGGCUAACAUCGGGGUGUAACAUUGACGACACAAUAAAUCAACUUUUAUGUUUUA
Molecule: long non-coding RNA, 961 nt
Organism: Danaus plexippus (monarch butterfly)
Lineage: Eukaryota; Metazoa; Arthropoda; Insecta; Lepidoptera; Nymphalidae
Exons: 2
Source: RefSeq, a predicted model, not a curated record